Triticum aestivum (bread wheat) is the source of this 223-nucleotide long non-coding RNA. RefSeq lists it as uncharacterized. The transcript has 3 exons. Lineage: Eukaryota; Viridiplantae; Streptophyta; Magnoliopsida; Poales; Poaceae. The record is from RefSeq and is a predicted model, not a curated record.
CACGAGCUGGACGAGGUCGACAGCGAGGUCAUCUGCCCUGCCCACCAUGAUUUCCCAUAGAACAAGAAGGUGCCUCAUGUGGAUUUUAUGGCUUAAGCCAAGAGGAGAAAGAAAGGGCUCUGCAUAUGAAAAGAUACCAACAUUAUUGUUUCCAUGAAAUUGGUUGGAAGAAAAGAAGAAGAUCCAGAGAAGAUCUUAGUAAUAAGAUAGUUUUUAGGAAAAU